CCUACGGGCGGCAGCAGUGGGGAAUAUUGCACAAUGGGGGGAACCCUGAUGCAGCGACGCCGCGUGAGUGAAGAAGUACUUCGGUUUGUAAAGCUCUAUCAGCAGGGAAGAAAAUGACGGUACCUGACUAAGAAGCCCCGGCUAACUACGUGCCAGCCGCCGCGGUCAUACGUAGGGGGCAAGCGUUAUCCGGCUUUACGGGGUGGAAAGGGGGCGUAGACGGUGAUGCAAGUCGGAAGUGAAAGCCCAAGGCUCAACCCUGGGACUGCUUUGGAAACUGUAAAACUGGAGUGCAGGAGAGGUAAGCGGAAUUCCUGGUGUAGCGGUGAAAUGCGUAGAUAUCAGGAGGAACACCAGUGGCGAAGGCGGCCUACUGGACUGUAACUGACGUUGAGGCUCGAAGGCGUGGGGAGCAAACAGGAUUAGAUACCCGGGUAGUC
RNAcentral lists this ribosomal RNA (440 nucleotides) under uncultured bacterium. Its description in RNAcentral is "partial 16S ribosomal RNA". It matches the Rfam family "Bacterial small subunit ribosomal RNA", at positions 338 to 795 of the family's 1533-position model. The record is from RNAcentral.